CACGUAGGCGGAUAUUUAAGUCAGGGGUGAAAUCCCAGAGCUCAACUCUGGAACUGCCUUUGAUACUGGGUAUCUUGAGUAUGGAAGAGGUAAGUGGAAUUCCGAGUGUAGAGGUGAAAUUCGUAGAUAUUCGGAGGAACACCAGUGGCGAAGGCGGCUUACUGGUCCAUUACUGACGCUGAGGUGCGAAAGCGUGGGAAGCAAACA
Molecule: ribosomal RNA, 207 nt
Filed under: uncultured bacterium
Lineage: Bacteria
Description: partial 16S ribosomal RNA
Rfam family: Bacterial small subunit ribosomal RNA
Source: RNAcentral